Molecule: ribosomal RNA, 304 nt
Filed under: uncultured bacterium
Lineage: Bacteria
Description: partial 16S ribosomal RNA
Rfam family: Bacterial small subunit ribosomal RNA
Source: RNAcentral
CAGCAGCCGCCGCGGGAAUACGUAGGGUGCAAGCGUUAAUCGGAAUUACUGGGCGUAAAGCGUGCGCAGGCGGUUAUGUAAGUCAGAUGUGAAAUCCCCGGGCUCAACCUGGGAACUGCAUUUGAGACUGUAUGGCUAGAGUGUGUCAGAGGGGGGUAAAAUUUCACGUGUAGCAGUGAAAUGCGUAGAUAUGUGGAGGAAUACCGAUGGCGAAGGCAGCCCCCUGGGAUAACAUUGACGCUCAUGCACGAAAGCGUGGGGAGCAAACAGGAUUAGAUACCCCUGUAGUCCCUGUCUCUUAUAC